This 1222-nucleotide ribosomal RNA is filed under the name Massilia sp. Its description in RNAcentral is "bacterial SSU rRNA". It matches the Rfam family "Bacterial small subunit ribosomal RNA", at positions 78 to 1298 of the family's 1533-position model. The record is from RNAcentral. Lineage: Bacteria; Pseudomonadati; Pseudomonadota; Betaproteobacteria; Burkholderiales; Oxalobacteraceae.
GCUUGCUCCGCUGACGAGUGGCGAACGGGUGAGUAAUAUAUCGGAACGUACCCAAGAGUGGGGGAUAACGUAGCGAAAGUUACGCUAAUACCGCAUACGAUCUAUGGAUGAAAGCAGGGGACCUUCGGGCCUUGUGCUCCUGGAGCGGCCGAUAUCUGAUUAGCUAGUUGGUGAGGUAAAGGCUCACCAAGGCGACGAUCAGUAGCUGGUCUGAGAGGACGACCAGCCACACUGGAACUGAGACACGGUCCAGACUCCUACGGGAGGCAGCAGUGGGGAAUUUUGGACAAUGGGCGCAAGCCUGAUCCAGCAAUGCCGCGUGAGUGAAGAAGGCCUUCGGGUUGUAAAGCUCUUUUGUCAGGGAAGAAACGGCUGUGGCUAAUAUCCACGGCUAAUGACGGUACCUGAAGAAUAAGCACCGGCUAACUACGUGCCAGCAGCCGCGGUAAUACGUAGGGUGCAAGCGUUAAUCGGAAUUACUGGGCGUAAAGCGUGCGCAGGCGGUUUUGUAAGUCUGACGUGAAAUCCCCGGGCUCAACCUGGGAAUUGCGUUGGAGACUGCAAGGCUAGAAUCUGGCAGAGGGGGGUAGAAUUCCACGUGUAGCAGUGAAAUGCGUAGAGAUGUGGAGGAACACCGAUGGCGAAGGCAGCCCCCUGGGUCAAGAUUGACGCUCAUGCACGAAAGCGUGGGGAGCAAACAGGAUUAGAUACCCUGGUAGUCCACGCCCUAAACGAUGUCUACUAGUUGUCGGGUUUUAAUUAACUUGGUAACGCAGCUAACGCGUGAAGUAGACCGCCUGGGGAGUACGGUCGCAAGAUUAGAACUCACAGGAAUUGACGGGGACCCGCACAAGCGGUGGAUGAUGUGGAUUAAUUCGAUGCAACGCGAAAAACCUUACCUACCCUUGACAUGUACGGAAGGCCGGAGAGAUUUGGCUGUGCUCGAAAGAGAACCGUAACACAGGUGCUGCAUGGCUGUCGUCAGCUCGUGUCGUGAGAUGUUGGGUUAAGUCCCGCAACGAGCGCAACCCUUGUCAUUAGUUGCUACAUUCAGUUGAGCACUCUAAUGAGACUGCCGGUGACAAACCGGAGGAAGGUGGGGAUGACGUCAAGUCCUCAUGGCCCUUAUGGGUAGGGCUUCACACGUCAUACAAUGGUACAUACAGAGGGCCGCCAACCCGCGAGGGGGAGCUAAUCCCAGAAAGUGUAUCGUAGUCCGGAU